Molecule: ribosomal RNA, 115 nt
Filed under: Chloroflexota bacterium
Lineage: Bacteria; Bacillati; Chloroflexota
Source: RNAcentral
GGGUGUGCGAGGAGCGCCAUGGACCCACCCCGUUCCAUCUCGAACCGGGCCGUGAAACGUGGCAGCGCCGCGGGUACUGGGGCCUCAGCCCUGGGAGACAAGGUCCGUGCACCCU